Long non-coding RNA from Hemicordylus capensis (graceful crag lizard), 1347 nucleotides. RefSeq lists it as uncharacterized. NCBI's taxonomy places the organism in Eukaryota, Metazoa, Chordata, Lepidosauria, Squamata, Cordylidae. The transcript is spliced from 5 exons. The record is from RefSeq and is a predicted model, not a curated record.
GGAUGAAGAUGAAGAGGGGACACUGACAGGUCAUCCCAGAAACCUGACCCAUGUUGUACCAUUUUCUGGGGGACUCCCCAAUGUUUUGGGGGACACUCUGGGGAAAGAGCUCAUUGAGGAACCUUCCGUGCCAGAACCUCUUCCAGCACCUGGCAUGACCAAUGACAUCCUGGAGGAAGAGCUCACUGAGGAAACCUCAAUGCCAGAACCCCUUCCAACACCUUGCAUCACAAAUGACCUACUGGGGAAAGUGCUCAUUGAGGAUACCUCAGUGCCAGGUCCUUCCAUCCUCACAGACACUCCAAAGAAAGGAGCUUCUGUGUCAAAGCCCUUACUAGAGCCUUCCAUUGCUUAUAAUUAUCUUCAGCAAGAUGUAGAACUCCUCAAAGAGUUACAGAAUGACUAUGUCCAGCAGCAACUGAGUGUUAGCCGCAUUUCCCAACAGUUCCCUUGUUCUCUCCGGGCCAUCAACCUGCAAAUUGGACACAUGCGGACAAUUCUCAACCGCACUGAGGUUCGGCUGCAGUGGUGGGAAAGGGAAGGUAUGUUCACAGCAUGCCCCUGAAAUUGCUGCUGGGUUAAGAAUGACUCUUUUGUUUAUUUCAUGUUGAAAUGCUUGAUUUGAGUCUGCAUCUAAGGUUUCAGGGGGAAGGCCUGUGAGUGGGUUGUCAGUGCUUGCUGAAGUGUUCCUUUGUUUUCUGUCUUUCAUGUGUCCAAGCUCCAGUGCCUGUAAUCCAAGCAGCUUCUCAGAAUGUUCCUGCAGACCCUGCUGCACUUCUCCAGCCCUCAGGGUCUGAUUCAUCAUUGUCCUCUGCCUCCCUUGAGGUUGCCUCCAUCCCACCCUCCACCUCCACCUCUUCCCUCCUCCUGCAUCCCUCUCCACCUCCUCCUCCUUCCCCACCUCCUCUGGAGCCAGACCUCAGCAAUUUGAAAGAAAAUCUGCAGAGUUUGGUAGAGAUGCAGGUCCAUCAGCUGCGUGACCGCCAAAGAGACCUCCACAGCUGCCAGGAAUACUUACAAAGCUUCAAGGCACUGAGGGGACAGUUGAGGCAGCUAAGGAGCAGACUGGCCAGGGUGGAAGCCACUAUGGGGAUCGUGGUUCCUCCAAGGGAGCUGGACGUUGCUGAGGAAGACGGGGAAGGCAAAUUAAAAGAGACAACUGUGCUACUAUUUACAUAGUAGCAAUAAAAUGCUGUGUAUAUAUUUUUAAAAUAUUAACUAUUUGUUUGCAUAGGAUGUAGAGAUAGAACAGCAAUAAAACUUGCAUAUUUAUUGUUUUAAAAAAUAAAAUGUUUUAUUUUAAAGAAAAUACAUUUGUCUUGCUUUGAAUAGUCUUUGGGUAGAGUU